This 384-nucleotide ribosomal RNA is filed under the name uncultured organism. RNAcentral describes it as "bacterial SSU rRNA". It matches the Rfam family "Bacterial small subunit ribosomal RNA", at positions 45 to 433 of the family's 1533-position model. The record is from RNAcentral.
UGCCUUACACAUGCAAGUCGAACGGUAACAGCACUUCGGUGGCUGACGAGUGGCGAACGGGUGAGUAAUACAUCGGAACGUGCCCGAGAGUGGGGGAUAACGCAGCGAAAGCUGUGCUAAUACCGCAUACGAUCUACGGAUGAAAGCAGGGGACCGCAAGGCCUUGCGCUCAUGGAGCGGCCGAUGGCAGAUUAGGUAGUUGGUGGGAUAAAAGCUUACCAAGCCGACGAUCUGUAGCUGGUCUGAGAGGAUGAUCAGCCACACUGGGACUGAGACACGGCCCAGACUCCUACGGGAGGCAGCAGUGGGGAAUCUUAGACAAUGGGGGAAACCCUGAUCUAGCCAUGCCGCGUGAUCGAUGAAGGCCUUAGGGUUGUAAAGAUC